AGUGAAGUGUCUGAAUAAAGAGUUAUUUUGAUAGAAUAAAUCAUGUGAUCAAUCACCUUCAUUA
This 64-nucleotide transfer RNA is filed under the name Dynastes hercules hercules. Its description in RNAcentral is "tRNA-Ile". Lineage: Eukaryota; Metazoa; Arthropoda; Insecta; Coleoptera; Scarabaeidae. The record is from RNAcentral.